This is a long non-coding RNA of Pistacia vera, 827 nucleotides long. RefSeq lists it as uncharacterized. NCBI's taxonomy places the organism in Eukaryota, Viridiplantae, Streptophyta, Magnoliopsida, Sapindales, Anacardiaceae. The transcript is spliced from 3 exons. The record is from RefSeq and is a predicted model, not a curated record.
AAAGAAAUUUAAAUUAGAGAUAUAAUUUGAAUCAAUUUCCUCAUUUGUCUGUGUUUCAGAUGAGAUAUGGUUCUACCACUUAGAGAAGUAACAUUUACUGGAAGAAUCUGAGUCUUUUUAGAUCCCAAAAUACAAAACCAACUAGAGAAUCAUCUCAUUCCAAUUACAGGUUUGUCGAUUUCAAACAUGUAAAUUGUUUUCAAUCCAGUGGUGGAGUAGAACAUUUUGAUACACGAAUACUUGAAAUUAGAAGUUUUUAUACAGUAUCUUUUUGAGGUCAUUAGUUUCUUCAACUCUUGUGGGUGAAAGGUAACCAAAAGAAAGUCUUCAACACAAAUUCCGAUAUUUUCAAUCACUGAUUUAUAUAGAUAAUAUAUGCAAAAGUUCCUUUACAAUCUAUGGUUGCCAGAUUUGAGAUUCUUUGUUGAGGUAAAAUGAAAUCAGAUUGCGAUUGCAAUAUCAUAAAAUUUUCCUUAUCCAGCUGCAUGUAGGCAUAUUUGACAUACUUUUUAUAUUUAAACUCUUAGUAAAUGGUAAUCCUAGAUCAUCUUUGAUUCGCAGGAUCAAGCUGCCCUCAUCAGCACAAGACUGACUUAGCCCUUAAGGUAGUUCAUCUGGUAUAAAUGAAGAGGAUGAUGGCAGUGGAUUCUCCUGUCUACAUAUGUGUAAUUAACUCUCUGCAUUGAUUGGAAAGCUGAAAGCCAGUAAAAUUCUAUUUUUCAAAAAGAGGUCAGAAUUCAUGUAAAAAGGAAACGAUGAGUGUAAAACCAAGUAAUGGACCUCUACAUAUCAUUGCUGAGGCACUACAACUCUCUUAAUAAAGUAUG